AUGAGUGCUCUCAUUGAUCAAAUAGACUGCCGUGUGAUUCUUGACAGGUUUGGUUGCUUGAUUGAAGAGCGACAGACGAGGCAGACGGUUGGGACUGGCACCAGGCGUAGGGGGCUCUGGUACAUGGACCAGGAGGUGCAGCCGGACUUGGUGUGUGCUGCGACCAUGGAGGACAAGGAGAAGCAGGCGAUGAUCCAUCACUGUAGGAUGGGACAUGUAUCUUUUGAUAAGAUGAGCAGAAUAUUUCCGGAUGUUAUGUUUGGAAUAGGCAAGGGCAAGCUGACAUGUGAUGCUUGCGAAUAUGCAAAACACACAAGAGCCACAUAUGUGAGUAAGGGGCUUAGGAGCAUAUCUCCUUUUAUGCUUAUUCAUUCAGAUGUAUGGAAGAGCCCAGUUGUGCCAAUGCAUGGAAUGAAGUACUUUGUUACCUUUAUCGACUGCUAUACUCGUAUGACUUGGAUUUAUUUGAUGCGUCACAAGGAUGAGGUGUUUAGCUGUUUUCAGAAUUUCCAUGCCUUGGUGAAGAAUCAGUUUAAGGUGGGUGGAGGUGCAGGUGAUCAGGACUGA
RNAcentral lists this ribosomal RNA (567 nucleotides) under Triticum aestivum (bread wheat). RNAcentral describes it as "partial small subunit ribosomal RNA". Lineage: Eukaryota; Viridiplantae; Streptophyta; Magnoliopsida; Poales; Poaceae. The record is from RNAcentral.